Long non-coding RNA from Lolium rigidum, 1232 nucleotides. RefSeq lists it as uncharacterized. The record is from RefSeq and is a predicted model, not a curated record. NCBI's taxonomy places the organism in Eukaryota, Viridiplantae, Streptophyta, Magnoliopsida, Poales, Poaceae. The transcript is spliced from 3 exons.
GCUUUUCCUUCCCCAACUCUUAUUCUCAUCGGUGAUUGGCUCUAGUACGUCACAGCCAUGGCUCAGUUUGAGGUUCCGAUCUCAGUGAAAUGGAUAUGGUCGAUUGAUGUGGUGCUCUGCUACUACAAUAUGGUAUAAUAGUACUACUUGGUAACUUCACCUCUUCACCAACUGCUGUCCCUUUGGAUAAUUUUGUUUGCCAUAUAUUGUAGCUGAAUUCUUGGUACACCAACCGAUCUACUGCAUACACCUUUGCUAUGAAACAAGUGUGAAUCUGAACUUGCUAUGACUGAUGGCUGCCCCUUCAUUGGAUGAAUGCAUAUCCAAACUUUUUGCUAUUUAACCCUUUGUGAUUAUGAACUUGAGAAAUAGAGGCAAGGCUCGAUCCCAAGUUACAUCAAUUUCCCAACAUUGUUGUAGCUGGAAUUACUAGUUGUAUACCUUAUUGGUGCUAAGUUGCAUACUCAUUGUUUGCUAAGUUGCAUACCUCAUAUGUGAAGUUAAGCAGAUAAAAGUUUUUAGUUGCAUAUUAAUCUUUGUUCCUCGUGUUUUCUCUUCUCCAAUUGGGAUCCAUGUUGUACCAAUGAGAUUCUUUUUUUAUGAAUGUAAAUGUUUAAUGGUGAUCCUGUUUUCCUCAUACCAAAACUUAGUUUCUUAUUUGAAAUGUUGAGUGAAUAUGUUUCUAGAAUAGUAAAUCUAUAUCAAAAUUUAUAGCAUAUGUUCUAUGUGCAGCUGAUAAGGCUCUAAGAGAUGCAAAGGUGCUGCCUUCGGGAGAUGACAAGAAGGAACGAAUGGUACUAGUUUCAUUUGCACACUAUAAUGAAUAACGAGAAUGACAGGCGUUCCCGACUGCGGUUACCACAAGUUGCUGGAGCAGCCAGUAACUCAGCCCAAACAGAUGUUCCUGGCGCAUUUAGGAAGACUACCGUUGCCCCAACUACAAAUUUGGCACCAAAAACUGCUCCUGCACGACCCUUUAAGGAUAGCGUAUAUUGGAGUUGCAGCUUCUUCAGACAAUUCCGGAGAUCCUAGGAGAUCUGAAGGAGGAAGAAGAGCUUGAAUUAUUCUUGCAGGAAGCAUCCGGACGAGAGGGAUGGUGAGGCAGAGGGGGUGGUUGGGGUGCAGUACCCGUCUAGGGUGGUAGAUAAAGACGUGGUCCUCUUAUGUUUUUGCACCGUCAGUGCUAAACUGUUUUGUUUGGACAUGAGGUGGUCUAUCCCUAGCUUUUUUCC